Molecule: long non-coding RNA, 4364 nt
Organism: Bombyx mori (domestic silkworm)
Lineage: Eukaryota; Metazoa; Arthropoda; Insecta; Lepidoptera; Bombycidae
Exons: 2
Source: RefSeq, a predicted model, not a curated record
AGCUAACCUAACCUAACCUAAACUGCUCAAGAGCACCUGCUUCGAGAAUGAAUCUACUAGCGGAUCGGAAUCGCGACCCGCUGAGAAGAUCCGGCGAGUAGCUCACUGUCAUUGGUUAGUUUGCACGUCUAUAUAUAUCUUCUCUAUAAUGUAUAUACCAAAUAGAAAUAUAAACAGUAAAAAAAAUUAAUUACUCGUUCGAAAACAGAAAUUUUAUUACUGCUCGAAAAUGACAUAAACCGUAACGUAUCUUAUCAGUACUUUGAAAAACAGCUAUGUAGGUGAAAACUUAAUGACAUUUCUUUUAAAACUGCAUAUUAAUUUCUUGGUUAAACAAGUCAUCUAUCGUUUUUAAGGCCACGGUAGUUUAUGAGAAAUGUAAUCUCGGUUUAGUUCAAAUUGAAAAAAAAUAUCCUUCUAAAUAGUAUUUCUUAGAUUUUACUCCUGAAAAACCAAUUUAACUUAGAACUGACGCUCAUGCUGUAACGCUAGAAAAAUUGAAUUGAAUUUUUUUUAGAAAUUGACGCCAUCUAGCGUAUACGUGGCGCAGUGUGGAGAAAUAAAAUAAUUUUAAAACACUAAGUAGUUCUCUCACUCGACGCUGCAUGACGUGACUGUGCGAUCUUGUCUAUAGUUCGAAGGUGAGAUUGGCACAGCCCUAUUAGGCAGAAUCUUCGAGAACCGUCAGACUAUUGCUAUAAAAGGACAAGUCACUUUGUCCGAGUCCUUUUUCAAUCAACAUCUCUCGAGCUGCAGUGAAAGUUUUGUUACGCAUUUACCUGAGUCAAUUAAACAGUUCCUUGGUGUCUUAUAUUAAACCAGGGUCCUAAUAACUAGUACAUUAUAUGUACAUCAGUUAGGGUGCGGAGAGUGACUUUUAGAUCACCUUCGAGAUCCCGCAGUACCUUUCUGCGUGGACGCUGCCGGAAGCGAGGUACUCUGGCUAGGCGAUCCAAGAAAGAGUACUUGACUACGGUAGACCAAGAACACACCUGCAUACCCAGCCUUGCUCGGAUCCAUCAACCCCAGUUGCUGGGAAGCAAUCCGGUGAACCUUCAUCGUCCGUUUGUUAACUAAACUGGUGAAACCGUCAUUGUUUCUAGUAAUUUAAUUUUAAACUAAUUUCGUUGAUAACUUUCUCGUGUGUUCGGUGUACCUACCGACACACAUGUAAUAUUGUACCUGACCACUAAUUUAAUCUUUGUAAACUAUUAUAACAAUUGUAUCCGUGUUAUUUAAAUAGAAUAAACACUGCUUUGUUAUAUUGUAAUUGUUUUCAUUUAUUGGUGUGAAUCUCCCAGAGCGAUAAGUGGUGGUGCCCUGAGAUCCUCCUUACAAAGUCUCCUGUUCACCGGUUGUCUACCGGUGGUGACGUGUCUAAAAGUGGUGCGACUCUGCCCCGUUUUUUCUCGACCCAUAGACCACCUUUUGGGGAGUGACGCGACUGGGCCUCAUGUAACAUCAGCAUACCAGGGACACCCUUAGACACAGACACGUUAUAUUGCGACAAUUUAUUAAGUAGUAAAAUAGACCCAUGAUAUGUAUCAUUAGAAUAUAAUAUUAAACUUUAUCAAAUACUGCCUAAAUAAAGUUCUAAGGUCUCAGUAUAGUUACAACGGCUGCCCCACCCUUCAAACCGAAACGCAUUCCUGCUUCACGGCAGAAAUAGACAGGGCGGUGGUACCCACCCGUGCGGACUCACAAGAGGUCCUACCAUCAGUAAUUACGCAAAUUAUAAUUUUGCGGGUUGGCUUUUUAUUACACGAUGUUAUUCCUUCACCGUGGAAGUCAAUUGUGAACAUUUGUUAAGUUCUUUUUUUUUCCACAGGAGAAAAUCGCCGGAUCCUCAUCCGCGCAGCGGUUGGGGUAUGUGGGAGUUGAACCUCACUAAAAACUCCUGCCGCUCACAGCCGACGCACUACCCCAGACCGGGCCGGAGCCCAGUCGGAGUUAUUGAGACGGCGGGACAGGGCUUACGCAGAGCAUAUUACAUCCAUCCCGUCGUCCCCCAGAGGCUGGACCAGCGGUCGCCGACGAAACAGCCACCGGUUGCCACGGUCGACGGGCCGGGGGCCCACCUUGAAGGCGCCACGCUGCACCUUUCCCCAGAGCGGUCGGAAGAACGCGGUCUACCAUCACCCGGCUUCCUAUUACGGGCGUGGUGUAAAUCACCCCGCCCCACGGCUGGGUCCCUCCCCGCAUAAAGCGGGUGGAGCCCAAAGCUCUUAGGGGGCCAGGUAAUGGAUGGGACCCCGGUCCCGACCCCCUGCUCGGCGGCGGCGGAUUUCUGCGUAGUGAGGAGAGCUUUGCCUCACCCGCCCCGCCGCCCCCUUCUGCGAGACGGUGCACUCGCAGAAGUCGAGUGACAGGACUGUAGUAUUUUCUAAAGUUUUGGGAGGUUAACGGCAAAGGGAAGAUCUUCGACCGAACGGGUGAAAUUACUCGGGACAUCGACGAUCGAUAUGUUCGAGUACUAUCGAGUCGUCGCGUCCCCUUGCAAAGGCGUGGGACGCGCCGCGGGGAAACCCCUUUGCCCGGGCAUGUGACUCCCUGUCUAUCGAGGCGGGGGUGAUGAGUUGCGGGUUGAUAACUAGAAGGCUUGAGUUGAGAUUGUGAUGGAUGGGACUGUCUCUUCAUUCCUCUUCAUCUUCUCCUUCUUUAUUCUUCUCUUCUUCUUUCUUCCUUCUUCAAUGUUCAGGUUGUUCAGUACUUGCAGUAUGCAAGCUUGUCUUGAAAAUGUCGUUAGCGAGAUUCAGGCAUCCGUCAAAUAUAUUGUGUUCCGUGAUGGCUACCGGCUAUAAAGUGAAUGUCAGUUUCGUAAUUUCAUUUAAUCUCCACUUAUCGGUAUUCUCGCCUCGGGUAUUGAUUGUAAGCUAAUACCUAUUGAUUGGAAGCUGUUCCCUUAAGAGACCUGUCCUUGCUAUCGUCAUGAUGGACUAUAAUUUGUACUUUAAGGACAUUGUAACUCUAUUAUCGACGGUUUACUGACAGAUAAGUAAACGUAAACUAUAAGAGUUAGUUGGUUGAUUAAAAUUGUAUAGAAAUCCCACAAUUCGAAUUUUUACCAUAUAACAUAGGAUUUUAAUUGUAAUCUUUGAAUUACCUCUGCUACUGUUCAUUAUAGAAGGAUAAUAUUUUCGGAACAUGGAACUACGGGAUAUCUAACCUUCGAAGCUCACAAGUCCAUAAUGUCACUCGAUACUAGUGGAUACUGCCGUCUUGUCUAUGCUCAAUAGAUCAAACUAAAAGUUACAAAAAAAAAUGGUGCGCGUGCAGCUUGGUGAACAUGAGAGAAGUGAAACUUCUUUUGCAGUGUGUAGUAUUGUGGUUUUCUUCAUUUUUCAUCCUUAAAUCAAUGGCCUAGCUCGCUGUAUCUUUUCUCUCUAGCCGUAACGAAUCUGUGGCGAGUUAAAUUUUAGUAUUUUUUAUUUUUAUUGCCCGUGUAGUCGGACGAGCAUAUGGCCCACCUGACGGUGAGUGGUUACCGUCGCCCAUGGACUUCAGCAAUGCCUGGGGAAGAGCCAAGCCGCUGCCUCCCGUUAAAUACUCUCCACAAGUCUCAUUUGAAGAAGGAUAAUCUCAACGCACCUCGCACCUAAAGAAGUUUCACUUCAAAAACUGCGCUGUAACCACUUUUGCUCAUCUAUAGCAGUAAAGAAUGUGUAUGCAAGCCUCGUGUACUGUUCAAAUAUCCCCGUGCGCAAGAAGCUGGAAUAUCUCCUUAGACUACGAGCGAAUAUUAGUUAAUAAAUCGAUUAUUAAGGAGUAAACAUCAAGAAGAUGUAACUGAUAACUAAUUGUAUCAUAUCUUGACAUAUGGGGCCGAAAUCUCGAAAAGGUUUUUUUAUUGCCCUUGUAGGCAGACGAGUAUACGGCCCACCUGAUGGUAAGUGGUCAUCAUCACUCAUGGACAUCAGCAAUGCCAAACCGCUGCCUAUCGUAAGGUAUCCCACCCUUUAAACCAAAGUGAAAUUCAGUAAAAUAUUCUUGUAACCAUAUGUCCUUGUGUGUAAAAUUUAAAUAAAGUUUUUGUUCGAGUUCUAUUUCUUUAAUAGGUCAAAUAUCUAUGGAGAGUGAUGAAAAUAAAACAAAAAUAUGGAAACAAAUAGUUUUAAUUGUUAUAUAACACCACAUAAAAAUAUUAUAAUUUAUUCAAAAUUGAUUUAGUAAUAAAAAAUUUCAUCUAAUACAUUUUAUUAGCUCAAAGAAAAAAUAUGCUGCAAUGAUGGACCUGUAAAUAAUUUAAAUUAUAGUUUAGUAUUUAGUAAAUCUUUAAGGUAUCAUUACGUUUAAAAUUUUGUUAGUCACAUAUAUCGAAGAAAUCUAGAGAACUGAUUAAAUAUACACGCUCGCACGAAAAAAAA